Molecule: long non-coding RNA, 510 nt
Organism: Neogale vison (American mink)
Lineage: Eukaryota; Metazoa; Chordata; Mammalia; Carnivora; Mustelidae
Exons: 3
Source: RefSeq, a predicted model, not a curated record
CAUCAAACAAGCCCCAAUGGGGGUACAUUCUACAAAAUAGUGCACCAGUACUUUUCAAGAAUCCAGUAAAGGUCAUCAAAAACAAGGAAUCUGAAAAAUUGUCAUAGCCAAGAGGAGCCUAAGGAGAUAUGACAACUAAAUGCAAUAUAGUUUCUUGGAGGAGUUCUUGGAAGAAGAAAAGAGCAGCAGCAAUAUGAACAAACCAAAUUGUCAAACACUGAACAAGUAGAAGGUGAAUGUACUUCCAAAAUCAUUUCCCUGAUCCCCUGCAAAUAGCUUGAUCACACUGGAGAAUGUAACCCAUGGAGUUGUAGAACUGUAUUUUUCUGCUUUACCUCAUGCAAAAUAAUCAAACUAAGAAUUUUCUGAACUGUCACUUCACAAACACACUGAAGAAACUGGGAGGUCAAGCAAGUGGUGUAUGCAAGGCCAUCUGUGAACACUGUUUUCUGAGGCUGACUUUUCCAAUACUGAGGACAGUUUCAUGUAACGGACCAAGCAUGGGGCAGA